Molecule: ribosomal RNA, 617 nt
Filed under: uncultured bacterium
Lineage: Bacteria
Description: bacterial SSU rRNA
Rfam family: Bacterial small subunit ribosomal RNA
Source: RNAcentral
AGAGAGGGAGCUUGCUUCCUUGAUCGAGUGGCGAACGGGUGAGUAACGCGUGAGGAGCCUGCCUCAAAGAGGGGGACAACAGUUGGAAACGACUGCUAAUACCGCAUAAGCCCACGACCCGGCAUCGGGAAGAGGGAAAAGGAGCAAUCCGCUUUGAGAUGGCCUCGCGUCCGAUUAGCUAGUUGGUGAGGUAACGGCCCACCAAGGCGACGAUCGGUAGCCGGACUGAGAGGUUGAACGGCCACAUUGGGACUGAGACACGGCCCAGACUCCUACGGGAGGCAGCAGUGGGGAAUAUUGCACAAUGGGGGAAACCCUGAUGCAGCGACGCCGCGUGGAGGAAGAAGGUCUUCGGAUUGUAAACUCCUAUUGUUGAGGAAGAUAAUGACGGUACUCAACAAGGAAGUGACGGCUAACUACGUGCCAGCAGCCGCGGUAAAACGUAGGUCACAAGCGUUGUCCGGAAUUACUGGGUGUAAAGGGAGCGCAGGCGGGCGAUCAAGUUGGAAGUGAAAUCCAUGGGCUCAACCCAUGAACUGCUUUCAAAACUGGUCGUCUUGAGUAGUGCAGAGGUAGGCGGAAUUCCCGGUGUAGCGGUGGAAUGCGUAGAUAUCGGG